RNAcentral lists this ribosomal RNA (262 nucleotides) under uncultured prokaryote. RNAcentral's name for it is "partial 16S ribosomal RNA". It matches the Rfam family "Bacterial small subunit ribosomal RNA", at positions 524 to 784 of the family's 1533-position model. The record is from RNAcentral.
UACGGAGGAUCCGAGCGUUAUCCGGAUUUAUUGGGUUUAAAGGGUGCGCAGGCGGAAGAUUAAGUCGGUGGUGAAAUUUUGCAGCUCAACUGUAAAAGUGCCAUUGAUACUGGUUUUCUUGAGUGUGGAUGAAGUAGGCGGAAUUUGUGGUGUAGCGGUGAAAUGCAUAGAUUAUCACGAGGAACUCCGAUUGCGCAGGCAGCUUACUAAACCAUAACUGACGCUCAGGCACGAAGGCGUGGGGAUCAAACAGGAUUAGAUA